RNA transcript from Raphanus sativus (radish), 1368 nucleotides. It is a transcript of the gene named protein SAWADEE HOMEODOMAIN HOMOLOG 1, with no coding region annotated. The record is from RefSeq and is a predicted model, not a curated record. The transcript is spliced from 10 exons. NCBI's taxonomy places the organism in Eukaryota, Viridiplantae, Streptophyta, Magnoliopsida, Brassicales, Brassicaceae.
ACAUUGAGAUGAAUGAUUUAAGAUAGUGUUCUAACUGUCCAUAGAAUAAGUUUGAGUGUUCUGUUUUUCAGUGUUUGUAGUAAUUGUAGUAUAGUUUUGUUAUGUACGUAUUAUGUUCGACAUGUGAAAUAAUUGAGGCGCCAUCUGUUAUUAUUAUUUUUAAUCUGUUAAUUUUUCUUUCUUUGUGCAGAAUUGUAUUGAUGUGUUGACCUGAAAUUUCAUGAAGUUGCAAAACAAGAUACAUUUGUUUUAAUCAUUGUCGUGAAGGAAACGCAGAAACAUCAUUGUGGCGAUGAAAAUAUGAUAUUUGAUUACUCUUAAUCAUAUUUGAUUAAUCGUUUGCCAAGAGGAAGAUUCCCCGAGAGUAGCAAAUCAGCAAACCAACUUGUUUGUUCUCCGAGAAUGGAUGCUCCCGAAGAUUCCUCCCACUAUUUCACCGAUUUCACCUUGGCCGAGAUUGUAGACAUGGAGACUCUGUUCAAGGAGCUCGGUGAUCAAUCUCUCCUCAAAGACUUCUGUCAAACGGUUGCCUCCUCUUUUAGUUGCUCAGUGAAUCGGAAGGGAAAAUCAUCAAUAACAUGGAAACAAGUACAGGGUUGGUUUCAGGGGAGGCUAGAGAAGGAAAACCAACCCAAGUCCAAGACUGUGCCAUCUUCCCCUUUGCAGAUUGUUGACUUAUCAAAUCUCGGUGGUGGUGGUUCUGUCAGAAUCCCUGAAACUGUUACAUGUGGUGGUGAAAGACUGAAAGGUAAGGCCUCUGAUGUGUCUGAUCUCGCUUUUGAGGCUAAAUCUGCAAGGGAUGACGCGUGGUAUGACGUGGCUUCGUUCAUGACUUAUAGAUAUCUUCGCACUGGUGAACUGGAAGUGCGUGUCCGGUUUUCUGGGUUCGACAACCGACACGAUGAGUGGGUGAACGUGAACACGUCAGUGCGUGAGCGGUCUAUUCCUGUAGUACCAUCAGAGUGUGGGAGAGUGAAGGUUGGAGACUUGCUUCUGUGCUUCCAGUUAAUGAGCAGGAGAGGGAGGAUGAAGCACUGUACUGUGAUGCUCAUGUUGUGAACAUCAAGAGAGGGGUUCAUGAUCACAGGAGUUGUAACUGCGUGUUCUUUGUUCGCUACGAGUUUGACGGUACAGAGGAACCGCUGGGAGUAGAAUGUAUUUGCCGUCGUCCUGAAGAGUGAAUUUGUUUGGUCAUGAAGUUAUCUUUAGAAACAGGCUCUCACUGAUGAUACUCGGUAAACUAUGACCUAUAGAUCGUAUAUAACUGAACCAUUUUCCCAAGGGGUUCUGCAACUAAGUGUAAGCUUUUGCUAUCUAUAAUGUGAAAUAAAGUUCAAAAGGGGUUACUAGAAUGUAACCAAACCUAAA